GGACUACAAGGGUUUCUAAUCCUUAUUGCUACCCAAGCCUUCGUCCCUCAACGUCAGUUUUUACAUAGAAGGAUGCCUUCGCCGUUACCAGUCCUUCUGGUAUCAAAGUAUUUCAUCUCUACUCCAGAAAUUCUUCCUUCUCACAUAAAACUCUAGUAAAAAAGUACUCAUUUAGAGUUUAAUUUACCGUCUAGGUACCCUUUAAACCUAAUAAAGAUGACUAACACUAGUCUUCUACGUAUUACCGCGGCUGCUGGCAC
Molecule: ribosomal RNA, 260 nt
Filed under: uncultured bacterium
Lineage: Bacteria
Description: partial 16S ribosomal RNA
Source: RNAcentral